This 209-nucleotide long non-coding RNA is filed under the name Notechis scutatus (mainland tiger snake). RNAcentral describes it as "lncRNA (ENSNSUG00000017507.1)". The record is from RNAcentral. Lineage: Eukaryota; Metazoa; Chordata; Lepidosauria; Squamata; Elapidae.
AAGAGAGCUACUCGCAGUGAGUUCAGGGGGACUGAGACAAAGUCCAGUGGAGCAAGGACACUCUAAAAUUUUCAUGCCUGUGGACUAACAUUAUCACGGGUGGAUUCCAUGUCUUUCCUUCGGUGGAUGUCUGAAAAAUUUAUUCUUGAGGGCUUACGGGAAUUGGAACUCUUUGGAGACCAAUGAAGCAAGUUCAGAGUCAAUAGCAU